RNAcentral lists this ribosomal RNA (371 nucleotides) under uncultured bacterium. Its description in RNAcentral is "bacterial SSU rRNA". It matches the Rfam family "Bacterial small subunit ribosomal RNA", at positions 527 to 896 of the family's 1533-position model. The record is from RNAcentral.
GUAGGGUGCGAGCGUUAAUCGGAAUUACUGGGCGUAAAGCGUGCGCAGGCGGUUAUGUAAGACAGGUGUGAAAUCCCCGGGCUUAACCUGGGAACUGCGCUUGUGACUGCAUAACUUGAGUGUGGCAGAGGGGGGUGGAAUUCCACGUGUAGCAGUGAAAUGCGUAGAGAUGUGGAGGAACACCGAUGGCGAAGGCAGCCCCCUGGGUUAACACUGACGCUCAUGCACGAAAGCGUGGGGAGCAAACAGGAUUAGAUACCCUGGUAGUCCACGCCCUAAACGAUGCGAACUAGGUGUUGGGGAAGGAGACUUUCUUAGUACCGCGGCUAACGCGUGAAGUUCGCCGCCUGGGGAGUACGGUCGCAAGAUUA